RNAcentral lists this ribosomal RNA (301 nucleotides) under uncultured bacterium. RNAcentral's name for it is "partial 16S ribosomal RNA". It matches the Rfam family "Bacterial small subunit ribosomal RNA", at positions 509 to 807 of the family's 1533-position model. The record is from RNAcentral.
CAGCAGCCACGGGAAUACGAAGGGGGCUAGCGUUGCUCGGAAUGACUGGGCGUAAAGAGCGCGUAGGCGGCGAUCAAAGUCAGGCGUGAAAUUCCUGGGCUCAACCUGGGGGCUGCGCUUGAUACUUGGUUGCUUGAGUGGGGAAGAGGGUCGUGGAAUUCCCAGUGUAGAGGUGAAAUUCGUAGAUAUUGGGAAGAACACCGGUGGCGAAGGCGGCGACCUGGUCCUUGACUGACGCUGAGGCGCGAAAGCGUGGGGAGCAAACAGGAUUAGAUACCCCCGUAGUCCAUGUCUCUUAUAC